GGCAAGAUGGCCGAGCGGUCCAAGGCGCUAGGGUCAGGUUAUCUGAUCGCAAAUAUCCGUCUAGCAUGGAAUAUUCCUAGUCUCGAAAGGGGCGUGGGUUCGAAUCCCACUCUUGUCA
Aspergillus tanneri is the source of this 118-nucleotide non-coding RNA. The record is from the annotation of a RefSeq genome assembly. Lineage: Eukaryota; Fungi; Ascomycota; Eurotiomycetes; Eurotiales; Aspergillaceae.